CGUUAUAUUUGCUAUCUGGAGAUGGGGAGAUAGUGGCGAAAUACUUUUCGCACUGGUUGAUAGCUGGUUAUUCCGGAAAUAUAUUUAAGUAUAGUCCUUCGGUUGAUGGGGUUUACAGUUUGAUAAUUCUAAUAGUAUUCGGGCUGUUUUUCGAAGGGGUCAGCCCCCUCAGGCUAAGCUGAGGGGGCUAUUUUAAAGGAUGGUUAAUUAAGAAUGGAAAGGCUAAGAAGUGGGCUUGAAGUAGUUAUCUUUAUGGAGUGGGUUAAACCACAAAUGAGCCUUGUAUAAUAAAUUAAAUUUUACCUAUCUUUGUGUUGUACGGAAUCUCUUUUUGAAACAAUAAUCAUGGAGGUGAUAAUGUAAAGAUGAGUAGUCGAGAAGUUGUAAGUGUUUUAAGGUCGGGGAAAGAAACGUAAGGUUAUGUUCCGUAUUUUUAAAAAAAGCUAAAGGAACUCGGCAAAUAAGGGGACCGCCUGUUUAUCAAAAACAUGGCUCCCUGAGCAAUAUGGGGGGUCGUGCCUUCCCGGUGAGCUUGCGGG
Molecule: ribosomal RNA, 539 nt
Filed under: Pecten maximus
Lineage: Eukaryota; Metazoa; Mollusca; Bivalvia; Pectinida; Pectinidae
Description: partial 16S ribosomal RNA
Rfam family: Bacterial large subunit ribosomal RNA
Source: RNAcentral